Molecule: ribosomal RNA, 440 nt
Filed under: uncultured bacterium
Lineage: Bacteria
Description: partial 16S ribosomal RNA
Rfam family: Bacterial small subunit ribosomal RNA
Source: RNAcentral
CCUACGGGAGGCAGCAGUAGGGAAUAUUGCUCAAUGGGGGAAACCCUGAAGCAGCAACGCCGCGUGGAGGAUGAAGGUUUUCGGAUUGUAAACUCCUUUUGUUAGAGAAGAUAAUGACGGUAUCUAACGAAUAAGCACCGACGAACUCCGUGCCAGCAGCCGCGGUCAUACGGAGGGUGCAAGCGUUACUCGGAAUCACUGGGCGUACAGUGCGCGGAGGCGGGAUAGCAAGUCAGAGGUGAAAUCCUAUGGCUUAACCAUAGAACUGCAUUUGAAACUGUUAUUCUAGAGUAUGGGAGAGGUAGGUGGAAUUCUUGGUGUAGGGGUAAAAUCCGUAGAGAUCAAGAGGAAUACUCAUUGCGAAGGCGACCUGCUAGAACAUAACUGACGCUGAUGCGCGAAAGCGUGGGGAGCAAACAGGAUUAGAUACCCGGGUAGUC